Non-coding RNA from Pimephales promelas (fathead minnow), 219 nucleotides. The record is from RefSeq and is a predicted model, not a curated record. NCBI's taxonomy places the organism in Eukaryota, Metazoa, Chordata, Actinopteri, Cypriniformes, Leuciscidae.
CUCUGGAGUGUUUGGUUGAACUGUGGGUGAAAUAGAGAGGACAGGAGAGGAUAAGCAAGAGAAACUGGAAUGGAAACAGGAAUAAACAAGAGCAGCAGGACAAAAAAAAGGAAAGGUCAGAGAACAAAAGGUUGAAAAUCUCUAAUGAAUAUUCAUGAGCAACCUGAGCAGCCAAGACACACAAGCAACAAAACUUUCCACUCUUCCACACCUGCACCG